Molecule: transfer RNA, 79 nt
Filed under: Blautia sp.
Lineage: Bacteria; Bacillati; Bacillota; Clostridia; Lachnospirales; Lachnospiraceae
Description: tRNA-Pro
Rfam family: tRNA
About the family: Transfer RNA (tRNA) molecules are approximately 80 nucleotides in length. Their secondary structure includes four short double-helical elements and three loops (D, anti-codon, and T loops).
Source: RNAcentral
CGGAACGUAGCUCAAAGGUAGAGCAGGGAAUAUGGCGGCCGAGGAAGCCCCGAUGCAGGUUCAAGUCCUGUCGUUCUGA